UGGUCCCUUGGCUGACAAAACCUUUGACCUCAUUCCAUACGGUCCGGCAUCUGAAGCUCAGCUCUCUUCUGUAUCUGCAUUUGGGCUGUUUUAAGAAGAGUAAGCCAGACUUUUGAAUCUCCAGGUCUAUCUACAGCACAAUCUGAAGAGGAAGAAAGAAAGAGGACAUGGAAGAAGCCAGAAAACGGAGCAUCCUGCAGUUACAUCCAUUUUGCUGCAAACACCUGGAGGGCGUUCUUCUUUAUGCCUGAGUGACACUCCAUGGUGCUGUCUAAAGUCCUUGCUGGGGAACAGGAGCCCACGGGAGAGAGCCAGGCUGCCUCGCUGACCGCUGUUGCUAGGGGCAUCAUUCAUCAGGGCCGCUUGUGUGGACUCAAGACAGGAAUCCGGGAGGAGGUGGUGAGACUGAAAAUGUUCCGUGGGGGAAAUCCAGGAAGCCCACGUGCAAAUCCUAACUGCUGUCCUUGGUCCCCAGGGAGAGGAAGGUGUUAUGGCAUCCUUUUCCUUCAGCGUGUAGGAUGUUCCGCUGGUGCCCACACCUGGGCAGAGUGAGCUGGCCGCUCACCCAUGCCGCACACCUGCCAUCCUGUGCAGUGUGACCUCAGACUCCUUAAACUCCGGGAUCAGAACUUGGCCUGGUCCCAUGCUGGGCAGACGUGGGUGGUAUGAGCAGCUGCACGCACAGCCCUAACUCCACCCCUACUCCCUGAUAGCCGAACAGUACUGCUUUGGUCUUUUCUUUCAUCCCUGGGUUUCCACUGCCAGGCCGGGUCUCCUUUCUCGGAUGGAGCCUUCCUGAUGGCGCUGGUCACCUGAUGCUCUUUCUUCGUGUUCCCAUAUGUCUGCGUCAAUCCGUUGUUGAUUUGUUUGUCCACUGUUUCCUCAGCUCCCAGUGAGAGGUUCCUUUGUGUGGACGGCUGUGUUAAUCACUGAGUCACAGAAAAGACAUGGGCUUCUGUGGGUUACACAUUAACUGCAGAACAGAUGUUUCCAGAGCUGUAGUGAUUGCCUAGUAUCCCAAUGACAGUCACACAAAGCAGCCUCCAGCCACCGCUCCAACCAGCAUGGGGCAGCCAGAGAGAAAAGGCUUGCACAGUGGACCAGCGUGCCUGUUGCCUGCUGCUUGGAGACCACUCUCUGGCUGCAGGGCUGACAGAUGGAAGCUGCAGGCCAGAGAUAUUCCUACCUGCAGGGAAGGUGAGACUGAGCUCUGAGUGACUUGGAGGUGGAUGGACAUUUGGAGUGGAGUGAUAUCAGAUCGUUCUG
Long non-coding RNA from Meriones unguiculatus (Mongolian gerbil), 1266 nucleotides. RefSeq lists it as uncharacterized. The transcript has 3 exons. NCBI's taxonomy places the organism in Eukaryota, Metazoa, Chordata, Mammalia, Rodentia, Muridae. The record is from RefSeq and is a predicted model, not a curated record.